CUUUGUAUACACCGCCCUGUCGCUACUACCGAUUGAAUGGCUCAGUGAGGCGUUCGGACUGGCUCGGGGAGGUUGGCAACGACCACCCCAAGCCGGAAAGUUCGUCAAACUCGGUCAUUUAGAGGAAGUAAAAGUCGUAACAAGGUCUCCGUAGGUGAACCUGCGGAGGGAUCAUUACACAAUAAAAUAUGAAGGCUGUACGCGGCUGUGCUCUCGGGCCAGUUUUGCGGAGGCUGAAUUAUUUAUUACCCUUGUCUUUUGCGCACUUGUUGUUUCCUGGGCGGGUUCGCCCGCCACCAGGACCACAUCAUAAACCUUUUUUAUGCAGUUGCAAUCAGCGUCAGUAUAACAAAUGUAAAUCAUUUACAACUUUCAACAACGGAUCUCUUGGUUCUGGCAUCGAUGAAGAACGCAGCGAAAUGCGAUACGUAGUGUGAAUUGCAGAAUUCAGUGAAUCAUCGAAUCUUUGAACGCACAUUGCGCCCUUUGGUAUUCCAAAGGGCAUGCCUGUUCGAGCGUCAUUUGUACCCUCAAGCUUUGCUUGGUGUUGGGCGUUUUUUGUCUUUGGUUGCCAAAGACUCGCCUUAAAAGGAUUGGCAGCCGGCCUACUGGUUUCGCAGCGCAGCACAUUUUUGCGCUUGCAAUCAGCAAAAGAGGACGGCAAUCCAUCAAGACUCCUUCUCACGUUUGACCUCGGAUCAGGUAGGGAUACCCGCUGAACUUAAGCAUAUCAAUA
This 736-nucleotide small RNA is filed under the name Curvularia hominis. RNAcentral describes it as "eukaryotic LSU rRNA". The stretch from base 368 to 521 matches the Rfam family "5.8S ribosomal RNA". Lineage: Eukaryota; Fungi; Ascomycota; Dothideomycetes; Pleosporales; Pleosporaceae. The record is from RNAcentral.